AAGUAUUUUCUUGCUCAGGGGACCAUAAUAGGUAUUUACACAAAAAUUAUCAGCCAAAUCCGAGCUAGUCCACUGAAAUAAAUCCGAGCUAGGCCGUAAUGAUGCAAUUUUACCAAAAAUAAUUUACAAAAUUCACUCCCCAAUCACUACAGAAGAGAAUAAGAACCAGUUCAAAAUAAUAAAUUAAAGAAGGAAGGUUGAAGUUUAUUAAUUAUUUGGAACAUUUGUUAUAAUUUAUAAUUAAUUCUCCAGUAUAAUUAUUCGACUUGAGUAAACAAGAGGAGAGAAAAACAGAACGAGAGUGGGCAUGGAUGAGUGUUCAAAAGUUGUUUUCCCACGUCCAAAAAGCAUCCUCGCGAAAGAAACAGUCUAUUCCAAGAUAUAUUUUGUCGUAUGUUUCUUUUCCAGAUUUCGCAUCAAAUUCCGCCCACAGACUGCACCUACUUUCAAGCUGAUUCUCUUCAAUCUGUUCUUAAAUUUUCGUAAGGUGUAAAUUGAGGAUCAGACGAUUAUUUAUGAGCCAAUUGUACUUUCCAACUUGGUUAAUCUUAACUUUAAAAAUAUUGGUGCAUGUUUCAUUACGAAAUUUGUGAUGGUUUUCAACUUCCCAAACAUAGAAAGGGUAAAUAUUCAUGGGCCUGAGGAGAAAGAAGCGUAUCAUCGCAUUCUCAUCACAACGUUUAGACAACAGUCAAAGAACUUUGUGAGUGUGACCACCCUGUGCACGUACAAAUGUAGGUGAUAAGAUAUGAAAAACAUCAAUACAUCCUGCCUUUGUUGAGUUUCAUUCAAGUUGUUUGUGUUUCCGGAGUCAAUACACAGCGUAUUUUUAUCGUUUAAAAUUGUUUGUAUUUCUGCAAUCAGUACACAGUUUUUUUGUUUAUCGUUUCAAAUGGUUUGUGCUUCCAUGGUUACUUACCAAUAUUUAGUUAAGACGAGGAAGUAAAUAGCUGCAAUGACUGGGACGUUGAUUUGUAUGCAGAUUUUGCCCCUUUUUAGCCAUUCAAUAAAAAAAGAUUGAAUAAAAUAUCCAUACAUAUCACACUGUGACGUAAAGUCGUGUUUAUUGAGUUCAUCAUGUCGCUAUCGCUUAUCAAUACUUGUGGGGCAUAACCACUGUCCAUUUGUAAUAUGUCUGGUUUGUGUUACCUUGUUAAAUUGGUAGCAACAUCUUAGCGAGCGAUUGAGCUGGAAAGAGUGUAAUGUAGUACGUAUAUUUUAUAGUGAUUCUUAUUCUUACCCGAGACAAUAUUGUAAGCCCAAGGGGCGGAUUCAAUAUUCGUUUUCCUCCCAUCAGACUGGAUAAUAUUAAACAACAACAGACUAUAUAGUCUGUUGCAAAAUUAUUAUAUAAUAAUUUUUUUAAGUUGACUCGGGCUUAAGAUGACUUUACUGGAAAACAUUUCUGGCGCGGUGGACAUUUUAGCUAAAAGUAUACCCGUUAUAACUAAUUUAAAUCAACUUUUUCAAGCGAUGGAACUCCCACCAGAUAAAAUUGUAGAUAUUACUCGGAAUCAUUAUAAUUCCAUAAAGGAAAGAUUAACCGUAGCUUUGCAGGCUUGGAAAGAAUUAGUAGGAAGUCGUGCAACGGUGGAACACCUGGUACGUAUUUUGCUGGCCUUACAGCACAAGGAUUCUGCAGGUGGGAUAGGGGCAAACUAAUAAUGAAGAGGCGUAAGGCGAAAUGAUACAGAAUUCGGCCGAAGCAUUAGGCCCCACCUCGAUUCCGGAUUCAACGAGCAUUAUAGCCUAAAAUUUGGAAUGUCAUGCCGAUCGCACAUCUUUACGUUGUUUACGUUUGGGAUCAGCUUACAAGGCUCCUGGUUAUUGAGAAAAAGCCGUGCCGGGAGGGUUAAUGUUUGGAAUGACUCGGCGACCUGACUACGAUUUCCACCACCACAGAUUUGGAAGAGUCUGCUGCACUACUUCGGGGGACCCUUACAAACAAUAAUGCUUCACCACCUCAAGAUGUUCUGCUCCCUACACAGGAACAAUCGACAAAUCCCGAAGAGGGCCAAACAUCACAAAUUUUCCGGAAAGUAACAACUGGAAUAAGCUUACUAGUAAUUAUUAUCAUGACCGUGUUAUUUGCAUGUUAUCACAUCAUUCCAAUCAGAGUUCUGGAUAAAUAUUCGUCAGAUAGACCAGAAAUAGUCACACGUACAGAAAACUAUCCAACUACUCCGUCACUUUCUAGACAGCAUAAAAACGAAUGUGUAGCUUUAAGAAAGAAAGGCAAAAUGAGAUGUCCGAUAAAUCAUGAAAUCCCUCACCAGAAUUUAAGAAUUGUCACGUUAAAUGAUAAUAAUCACCACGAUUUCUGUGACGCGGAACAUAAGGGAUGCUUCCUUGGUGGUAACCCUGACAACGAUGACUUCUCAUCUGACCAAGAAUUUUGUCCCCAUAAUCUCGUAGCCCUUGAAAUUUUAAGUGCCAUAAGGAGAAAAAGGUUGACCAAUUUUUUGGACAGGUAUUGCUUGCUGGGGUCACUUUUAUUUGGGAAGAAUGCAUCAGUAGAAGCUACACCAGGAACAAGUUAUCUCUCAGAUAAGCUGAAUUAUCCAUCAUUGCAAUCGCUAUCAUUUGAGGGAACAGUAAAUGUUAGCGUAAUUCUAGCUAAUCUUUCGGAUCAUGUCAGUUUUCCUUGUUUGGUUGAGAUCAAUCUAAGUUGUGUAAUACUGAUGGCGGAGGACAUUACAAGUCUUCGUAACUUGGUCGCAUCCAGUGGAAGUUUGAGAAGGAUUAAUUGUCAGGAUAACAACUUUUGUGAAAAUUUACUCGAUGUCAAUAACGGACAUGAAUUAAAUAGGAAUUUUACCAGAACAAUUUGUUGAGUGCAAACAACUUGUUCUGGAUAGAUAAAUUUAUUAUGUAUCUUUUAUCAUGUAUUAUAUAUGUUUGAUCAUAUAUGUAUUAUGUAUAUAGUGUAUUAUGUAUGUGUUUCUGUGCAUACAUUUUUAAUUAGUUCUGAGUACGCAGUCUGACCACUCAAUAAAAAUAUUGACAUAUUUA
Molecule: RNA transcript, 3012 nt
Organism: Folsomia candida
Lineage: Eukaryota; Metazoa; Arthropoda; Collembola; Entomobryomorpha; Isotomidae
Exons: 5
Source: RefSeq, a predicted model, not a curated record